RNAcentral lists this ribosomal RNA (540 nucleotides) under uncultured soil bacterium. Its description in RNAcentral is "bacterial SSU rRNA". It matches the Rfam family "Bacterial small subunit ribosomal RNA", at positions 26 to 534 of the family's 1533-position model. The record is from RNAcentral.
AGAUUGAACGCUGGCGGCAGGCCUAACACAUGCAAGUCGAGCGGUAGAGAGGUGCUUGCAUCUCUUGAGAGCGGCGGACGGGUGAGUAAUGCCUAGGAAUCUGCCUAGUGGUGGGGGAUAACGUUCGGAAACGGACGCUAAUACCGCAUACGUCCUACGGGAGAAAGCGGGGGACCUUCGGGCCUCGCGCCAUUAGAUGAGCCUAGGUCGGAUUAGCUAGUUGGUGAGGUAAUGGCUCACCAAGGCGACGAUCCGUAACUGGUCUGAGAGGAUGAUCAGUCACACUGGAACUGAGACACGGUCCAGACUCCUACGGGAGGCAGCUAGUGGGGAAUAGUUCGGACGAUGGGGACGAAAGUCCUAGGAUCCAGCCAUCGCCGCGUGUGUGAAGGAGGUCUUCGGAUUAGUAAAGCUAACGUUUAAGGUUGGGAAGGUAAGGGUUUGUAAACCCUUAAGUACCGUUAGUACUAACGUUUUUGAACCGUUUACCGACAAGAAAUAAGCCAACCGGCUAACGUUCCGUAGCCUAGCAGCCGUACG